AACAAAAACAUAGUUUAAUGUUAUAAUAUUAAAUUAAUCCUGCCCAGUGAUUUUUUUUAACGGCCGCAGUACCUUGACUGUGCUAAGGUAGCAUAAUCAAUUGGCUUUUAAUUAAGGUCUGGAAUGAACGGAUAUAUGAAAAUAAUACUGUCUUUAUAAUAUUUUUGUAAACUUAUUUAUCAGGUGAAAAUACCUGUAUUUAAACAAAAGACGAGAAGACCCUUAGAGUUUUUUAUAAUACCUUUUUGUUUUGUUUUUGUUGGGGCGACAAGUAAUCAUUCUAACAUUACGUAAAAAAUUUGAUUCGAGUUUUUUAAAGAAAAUUAAACUACCUUAGGGAUAACAGCUUUAUAUAUUUAUAUGUUUGUGACCUCGAUGUUGGACUAGGAACUAUAUGGCUAGCAGUCAAAAUAGAUUUGUUCUGUUCGAACAAUUAUAUCC
RNAcentral lists this ribosomal RNA (441 nucleotides) under Planorbella trivolvis. Its description in RNAcentral is "partial 16S ribosomal RNA". It matches the Rfam family "Bacterial large subunit ribosomal RNA", at positions 1806 to 2596 of the family's 2925-position model. Lineage: Eukaryota; Metazoa; Mollusca; Gastropoda; Planorbidae. The record is from RNAcentral.